Molecule: ribosomal RNA, 253 nt
Filed under: uncultured bacterium
Lineage: Bacteria
Description: partial 16S ribosomal RNA
Rfam family: Bacterial small subunit ribosomal RNA
Source: RNAcentral
UACGUAGGAGGCAAGCGUUGUCCGGAAUCAUUGGGCGUAAAGAGCGUGUAGGCGGCUUGGUAAGUCCGCUGUGAAAGUCCAGGGCUCAACCCUGGAAAGCCGGUGGAAACUGUCAAGCUUGAGUCCGGAAGAGGCGAGUGGAAUUCCUGGUGUAGCGGUGAAAUGCGCAGAUAUCAGGAGGAACACCAAUGGCGAAGGCAGCUCGCUGGGACGGUACUGACGCUGAGACGCGAAAGCGUGGGGAGCAAACAGG